Molecule: long non-coding RNA, 596 nt
Organism: Fukomys damarensis (Damara mole-rat)
Lineage: Eukaryota; Metazoa; Chordata; Mammalia; Rodentia; Bathyergidae
Exons: 3
Source: RefSeq, a predicted model, not a curated record
CACCACAGAUGCUACACUGGGGAGUCCGAGAGAUGCGGGACACUCAGCAGGACCUCUAAGCCCUUCUUGGGGGCCAUGCACUCAGUCUCCACGUACUUACCGGAAGGAGGGGACUGGCUUUUACCAGGCCCGCUCUGAUGUGGACAGGCUGGAGGUGAGGGGGCAUCGCACGAAGACAGCAUGGCAGCUCAGUCACUGCGUGCACACGCGUGUGCGCACACACGGGAAGGGGAGGAUGGGGGUGGCUGCCCUGCGGUACGAAGCUGUCCAGGUGGGGCAAGGGCGCCCGGGCCACCCCCCUCCAUCCCUCAGCAAGAAGCAACAUGCACUGUACGAGGAGGUUUACAUGAAGCGAUAUGGCGCAGAUCUACCCUACGGGACACGGACACCAACCGCACACGCAGGACAGGAGCGGACACAACACACAGUAAGUUGCUCAGGUGGCUGUGAAGGAGCCCGCACACCGGGGACACCAUGGCAUGCAGACACACAGGGAUCCAGGGCAGAAGCGCAGGUGGGGUCAGGAGGCGGGGACAGCCCCAGCCUGUGCCGGAAGUCCUUGUCAGCCCAGACUUCUCUCCCUCUGGGCUGGCUGG